Molecule: ribosomal RNA, 500 nt
Filed under: uncultured bacterium
Lineage: Bacteria
Description: partial 16S ribosomal RNA
Rfam family: Bacterial small subunit ribosomal RNA
Source: RNAcentral
AUUGAACGCUGGCGGCAUGCCUUACACAUGCAAGUCGAACGGCAGCACGGGAGCAAUGCUGGUGGCGAGUGGCGAACGGGUGAGUAAUAUAUCGGAACGUGCCCAGUCGUGGGGGAUAACGCAGCGAAAGCUGUGCUAAUACGGCAUACGAUCGAUGGAUGAAAGCGGGGGAUCGCAAGACAUCGCGGGAUUGGAGCGGCCGAUAUCAGAUUAGCUAGUUGGGGAGGUAAAGGCUCACCAAGGCGACGAUCUGUAGCUGGUCUGAGAGGACGACCAGCCACCCUGGAACUGAGACACGGUCCAGACUCCUACGGGAGGCAGCAGUGGGGAAUUUUGGACAAUGGGCGAAAGCCUGAUCCAGCAAUGCAGCGUGCAGGAUGAAGGCCUUCGGGUUGUAAACUGCUUUUGUACGGAACGAAACGGUGAGCUCUAAUACAGUUUGCUAAUGACGGUACCGUAAGAAUAAGCACCGGCUAACUACGUGCCAGCCGCCGCCGUAA